Non-coding RNA from Cinara cedri, 240 nucleotides. Lineage: Eukaryota; Metazoa; Arthropoda; Insecta; Hemiptera; Aphididae. The record is from the annotation of a GenBank genome assembly.
UUAAUUAUUUACAAUAAUAAUAAUAAUAAUUAUAAUGUACACGACUAUAAUGGCGUGUUGAAUUAAAUGAUCUGAUGGAAUAAUAUAAUAAUGUUAAUAAUAAAUAUGUCAUGACAAAAUAUCGAUUUAUAGUUUGGAAACCACCUAUGCUAAUUGGUCAUUUGUGUAAAUGUUUGUAAGGACGUUAGGAUAGAGUUAAUCAUUAAUAUAGGAUGCGAUUUUCGCAAAGGACAAGGUAAG